RNAcentral lists this small RNA (285 nucleotides) under uncultured Corynebacterium sp. RNAcentral's name for it is "5' ureB small RNA". It matches the Rfam family "5' ureB small RNA". Lineage: Bacteria; Bacillati; Actinomycetota; Actinomycetes; Mycobacteriales; Corynebacteriaceae. The record is from RNAcentral.
UUCGAUCUGAUCUGGCGAGAUGAAGUGCACAUGGGUAUCCACUGCUCCCGCGGUCAGUAUCUUGCCUUCCCCGCUGAUGACCUCGGUGGAUACGCCGAUGAUGAUUUCCAUGUCCUGUUGGAUGUCGGGGUUUCCCGCAUUUCCAAUCUUCAUGAUGAGGCCAUCUUUCACCGCCACGUCGGCGAUGUAGAUGCCGGUGUAAUCCACAACCAUGAUGUUGGUGAUGAUCAGAUCGGGAAUAUUCUCCGUCGAUGACGGACGGGAGUAUUGCCCCAUGCCGUCGCG